This 360-nucleotide unclassified non-coding RNA is filed under the name Cladonia latiloba. Its description in RNAcentral is "partial 28S-18S ribosomal RNA intergenic spacer". Lineage: Eukaryota; Fungi; Ascomycota; Lecanoromycetes; Lecanorales; Cladoniaceae. The record is from RNAcentral.
ACCGAAGUCUGUAACCGCCUCCGGGCGUGACGGGCGGCUGGUAUCCUCCUUCUGAGGGGUGUAUGUUGCAGCUUGGGCCGUUCCUUAUGGGUCGCGAAUCCCCAAUCCUGCGGCGGACCAUCCCUUGGGCAACUCAGUGGGGGCAAUUGGAUGGCUCGUAGGCACUUUCGGCGGCUUCGGCCCUGGAGGUGGCUCGGGCCGGGUGUUGGGCUUCGGUCCACGUCCCGACCUUUUUAACUAGCUCUGAUACCUCUUCAUUGAGGGUUGCCGGGGGAGGCUUUUCGCUCUUCGGGGCGGAGGGCCUACCCGGGAAAGAUAGUUACCUGGUUGAUUCUGCCAUUAGUCAUAUGCUUGUCUCAA